GACGUAGGGCGCGAGCGUUGUCCGGAUUUAUUGGGCGUAAAGAGCUCGUAGGCGGCUUGUCGCGUCGUCCGUGAAAACCUGGGGCUCAACUCCAGGCUUGCGAUCGAUACGGGCAGGCUAGAGUUCGGUAGGGGAGACUGGAAUUCCUGGUGUAGCGGUGAAAUGCGCAGAUAUCAGGAGGAACACCGGUGGCGAAGGCGGGUCUCUGGGCCGAUACUGACGCUGAGGAGCGAAAGCGUGGGGAGCGAACAGG
Molecule: ribosomal RNA, 253 nt
Filed under: uncultured bacterium
Lineage: Bacteria
Description: partial 16S ribosomal RNA
Rfam family: Bacterial small subunit ribosomal RNA
Source: RNAcentral